This 514-nucleotide ribosomal RNA is filed under the name uncultured bacterium. RNAcentral's name for it is "bacterial SSU rRNA". It matches the Rfam family "Bacterial small subunit ribosomal RNA", at positions 15 to 507 of the family's 1533-position model. The record is from RNAcentral.
GAUCCUGGCUCAGAGCGAACGUUAGCGGCGGGCCUAACACAUGCAAGUCGAACGCGAAAGGUCUUCGGACUGAGUAGAGUGGCGCACGGGUGAGUAACACGUAGGUAAUCUACCCUUUGGCGGGGGAUAACGUUCCGAAAGGAGCGCUAAUACCGCAUAAGACCACGUGGUCUCCGGACCGAGUGGGAAAAGGUGGCCUCUUCUUGAAAGCUACCACCGAAGGAUGAGCCUGCGUCCCAUCAGCUAGUUGGUAAGGUAAUGGCUUACCAAGGCAAAGACGGGUAGCUGGUUUGAGAGAAUGAUCAGCCACACUGGCACCGGAACACGGGCCAGACUCCUACGGGAGGCAGCAGUGAGGAAUAUUGGGCAAUGGGCGAAAGCCUGACCCAGCCACGCCGCGUGAGUGAUGAAGGCCCUCGGGUCGUAAAGCUCUGUGGAGAGGGACGAAAACCCUGGUUUCAAAUAGGCUCCAGGCUUGACGGUACCUCUUUAGCAAGCACCGGCUAACUCUGUG